AACAAUUGGGUAUUAAACGUCCA
This 23-nucleotide non-coding RNA is filed under the name Arabidopsis thaliana (thale cress). The record is from RNAcentral. Lineage: Eukaryota; Viridiplantae; Streptophyta; Magnoliopsida; Brassicales; Brassicaceae.